GACGAACGCUGGCGGCGUGCUUAACACAUGCAAGUCGAACGGAAAGGCCCUGCUUUUGUGGGGUGCUCGAGUGGCGAACGGGUGAGUAACACGGGAGUAACCUGCCCUUGACUUUGGGAUAACUUCAGGAAACUGGGGCUAAUACCGGAUAGGAGCUCCUGCUGCAUGGGGGGGGUUGGAAAGUUUCGGCGGUUGGGGAUGGACUCGCGGCUUAUCAGCUUGUUGGUGGGGUAGUGGCUUACCAAGGCUUUGGCGGGUAGCCGGCCUGAGAGGGUGACCGGCCACAUUGGGACUGCGAUACGGCCCAGACUCCUACGGGAGGCAGCAGUGGGGAAUAUUGCACAAUGGACGGAAGCCUGAUGCAGCAACGCCGCGUGCGGGAUGACGGCCUUCGGGUUGUAAACCGCUUUCGCCUGUGACGAAGCGUGAGUGACGGUAAUGGGUAAAGAAGCACCGGCUAACUACGUG
Molecule: ribosomal RNA, 468 nt
Filed under: uncultured bacterium
Lineage: Bacteria
Description: partial 16S ribosomal RNA
Rfam family: Bacterial small subunit ribosomal RNA
Source: RNAcentral